CGGCGUGCCUAAUACAUGCAAGUCGAACGCUUUUUCUUUCACCGGAGCUUGCUCCAUCGAAAGAAAAAGAGUGGCGAACGGGUGAGUAACACGUGGGUAACCUGCCCAUCAGAAGGGGAUAACACUUGGAAACAGGUGCUAAUACCGUAUAACACUAUUUUCCGCAUGGAAGAAAGUUGAAAGGCGCUUUUGCGUCACUGAUGGAUGGACCCGCGGUGCAUUAGCUAGUUGGUGAGGUAACGGCUCACCAAGGCAACGAUGCAUAGCCGACCUGAGAGGGUGAUCGGCCACACUGGGACUGAGACACGGCCCAGACUCCUACGGGAGGCAGCAGUAGGGAAUCUUCGGCAAUGGACGAAAGUCUGACCGAGCAACGCCGCGUGAGUGAAGAAGGUUUUCGGAUCGUAAAACUCUGUUGUUAGAGAAGAACAAGGAUGAGAGUAAAAUGUUCAUCCCUUGACGGAUCUAACCAGAAGCC
This 478-nucleotide ribosomal RNA is filed under the name Enterococcus casseliflavus. RNAcentral describes it as "bacterial SSU rRNA". It matches the Rfam family "Bacterial small subunit ribosomal RNA", at positions 40 to 492 of the family's 1533-position model. The record is from RNAcentral. Lineage: Bacteria; Bacillati; Bacillota; Bacilli; Lactobacillales; Enterococcaceae.